This 191-nucleotide small nuclear RNA is filed under the name Equus caballus (horse). Its description in RNAcentral is "U2 spliceosomal RNA (ENSECAG00000037629.1)". It matches the Rfam family "U2 spliceosomal RNA". Rfam says of the family: U2 is a small nuclear RNA (snRNA) component of the spliceosome (involved in pre-mRNA splicing). Complementary binding between U2 snRNA (in an area lying towards the 5' end but 3' to hairpin I) and the branchpoint sequence (BPS) of the intron results the bulging out of an unpaired adenosine, on the BPS, which initiates a nucleophilic attack at the intronic 5' splice site, thus starting the first of two transesterification reactions that mediate splicing. Lineage: Eukaryota; Metazoa; Chordata; Mammalia; Perissodactyla; Equidae. The record is from Rfam by way of RNAcentral.
GUCGCUUCUCGGCCUUUUGGCUAAGAUCAAGUGUAGUAUCUGUUCUUAUCAGUUUAAUAUCUGAUACGUUCUCUAUUUGAGAACAAUAUAUUAAAUGGAUUUUUGGAACAGGGAGAUGGAAUAGGAGCUUGCUCCGUCCACUCCGCGUAUCCACCUGGUAUUGCAGUACCUCCAGGAACGGUGCACCCCCA